UCAAUUUAUUAGCAAGGCAUAACUACAAACAUAUGUAAUUAACAACAGAACCCCAAAAUACAUGAAACAAAAAAAUAACAGAAUUGAAGAGAGAAACAGACAAUUAAAAAAUAACAGUUGGAGACUUAAAUAUGCCACUUUUACUAAUAAAACAAAUAGGCGGAAGAUCAAGAGGGUAAUAAAAGACUUGAACAAUACUAUAAUCCAAUUAGACCUAACAGAUUUUUAUAGAACAUUCUACCAAACAACAGUAUAAGAUACAUUUUUCUCAAGUGGGAAUGGAACAUUUCCAGGAUAGACCAUAUGUUAGGCCUAUGACAUAUGAGACAAAUCUCAAUACAUUUAAAUUGACUGCAGUAAUACCAAGUAUUUUUCUCCAACUAUAAUGGAACAAAAUUAGAAAUAAACAACAGAAGGACAUUUGAGAAGUUCACAGAUAUGAGGAAAUUAGACAACACACUCCUAAAUAACCCGUUGGUUAAAGAAAAAGUCACAAGGGAUAUUAUAAAAUACUAUGAGAGGAAUGAAACAAAUAUACAACACACCAAAAUUUAUGGGAUGUAACUAAAGCAGUGCUGAGGAAGAAAUUUAUAGUUGUACAUACCUAUAUAUAUUAUAUAACUACACCUACAUACAUAUAUGUAUGUAUGUAUGCAUAUGUGUAUCAAGUGAUCCUCCUGCCUUAGCCUCAGCUGGGACUACAGGUGUGUGUCACCAUACUCAGCUAAUUUUUUUUUUUUGAAAUGGGAUCUCACUCCAUCACUCAGGCCAAGAUGCGGUGGCACAAUCUCGGCUCACUGCCACCUCUGCCUCCUGGGCUCAAGCAAUCCUCCCACCUCAGCCUCCCCAAGAAGCUGGGAAUAGAGACAUGCUCCACCACCCCCAGAUAAUUUUUUCUAUUUUUGGUAGAGAUGGGGGUCCCACCAGGUUGCCUAGGCUGGUCUUGAACUCCCAUGCUCAAGUGAUCUGCCUGCCUUUGACUCCCAAAGUGUUGGAUGAAAGGCGUGAGCCACUGCACCCAGCCAAAUUUUUAAUUUUUUUGUUUUCUAGAGAUGGGGUCUUGCUAUGUUGCCCAGGCUGCUCUCACAUUCCUGACCUCAAGUGAUCCUCCUGCCUCAGCCUCCAGAGUAGCUGAGAUUAUAGGCACAAGCCACCGUUUAAAUUUUUCUAGUUUUACAUGUGAUUUCCUCUUUGAUGAGUAGGUUUAGAAGUGUGUUGUUUAUCGUUUCUCGGCCUUUUGGCUAAGAUCAAGUGUAGAAGUGUGUUGUUUAAUUUCCAAAUAUUUGGACAUAUUUGGGGAAUUAGACUUGACUUAAAAUUGAGUUAAACUUGAAGUCAAUAAUACAUAGUUGGAAAAUCCCCAACUAUGUAUUAUUGACUUCAAGUUGUAUGACUUGUAUUGACUUCAAGUUGUGUGUAUUGUUGACUUCAAGUUGUAUGUAUUGACUUCAUACUUGUAUGAUUUCAAUUCUUUAAAACUUGUGGAGUUGUUUUUUAAUGACCCAGAAUAUAGUUCAUAUUGUUUGAAUGUUUCAAGCACUUCACAAAUAAUAUAUUCCCCUAUUGUUGGGUAUAUUGUUCUAUAAAUAUUCAUUAGGUCAAGGUGGUUGACAGAGUUGUCAGGUCUUCAAUAUCUUUAUUGAUUUUCUUUCUAGUUCUGUUACUUAAAAUGCUCAAGUCUCUAGCUAUAACUGUGGAUUUGUUUAUUUCUCCUUUCAGUCCUGUCAGUUUCUAGCACCUCUGUUGUUAGGUACGUACAUAUGUAGAAUUGUUAUACCUCUUUGUGAAUUAACAUCUUUAUCAUUAUGUAAUGUUCCUUUUUAUCCUUGGUGACAUUCCUCAUUCUAAAGUCAACUUUGGUAGUAAUAUAGACACUCUAGCUUUCUUUUGAUGAGGGUUUGUGUAUCUUUCCCUUAGCAUAAUGUUUUUGAGGUUUAUCCAUAUGGUAGCCUGUAUCUGUACUUCAUCUUUAUGGCUGAGUAAUGUAUCAUACGUAUAUAAUCAUUUUGUUUAUCCAUUCAUAUAUUGAUGGGUUGUUUACACCAUUGGGUCAUUGUGAAUAGUGCUGCUAUAGCAUCUGUGUAUAAAUUUUUGUGGAUGCAUGUUUUCUUUUCUCUUGGGAAGACAGCUAGGAAUGGAAUUGCUGGGCUAUAUGGUAAUUCUGUUUAUCUUUUCAGGAACCACCAAACUCUUUGUCUACAGUGGCUGAACCAUUUUACAUUCCCAUGAGCAAUGUACAAGGUUCCCAUUUUCAGGCUGGGCGGGGUGGCUCACGCCUGAAAUCUUAGUACUUUGGGAGGCCAAGACAGGUGGAUCACUUGAGAUCAGGAGCUCAAGACUAACCUGGGCAACAUGGCGAAACCCCAUUUCUACUAAAAAUAUAAAAAUUAGCCAGAAAAAAAAUUAGCUGGGUGUGAUGGUAAGCACCUGUAAUCCCAGCUACUCCAGAGGCUGAGGCAGGAGAAUCACUGGAACCCAAAAGGUGGAGGUUGCAGUGAGCUGAGAUAGCACCACUGCACUCCAGCCUGGGUGACAGAACGACACUCCAUCUCAGAAAACAAGAAGGCUCCCAUUUUCCAGCAUCCCCAACACCACUUUUUUUUUUCUGUAUUUUUUGUUAUAGCCAUCCUUCUGGAUGUGAAGUGGUAUCUCACUGUGAUUUGGAUUUGCAUUUCUCUGAUUGCCACUGUCUUUCUGCUUCCAAGAUCCUCUUUUCAGUUUUGGACAGUUUAUAUAUGUCUCGACAUGGAUCUUUCCUGACUUAUCCUAUUUGGAGUUCUGCAAACUUCUUGGAUGGGUACAUUCAAGUGUUUUCACAAAUUUGAGGUGUUUGGGGCCAUUAUUUCUUCAAAUAUUCUUUCUGCCCCUUUCUCUCUCCUCUCCUUCUGAAACUCCUAUUUUGCAAAGGUUGGUAUGCUUGGUGGUAAUCCAUAGCUUUCUUAAAUUGCUUCUUUCCUUUGUUCUUCUGCUCCUCAGAUGGAUAAUUUCAAUUGAUCUACCUUCAGCUUCACUGAUUCUUUCUACUGUCUGGCCAUAUCUGCUAUUAGAACCAUUUUUUCCCCCUUUUUUUUAUUGCACUUUUCAGCUAAUUUUUAUGGUUCCUUUUUAUAAUUUCUUUGACAAUCUCUAUGAGACAUUGUUUCCCUGUAUUCCCUUAGCUCUUUGAGCACUUUUGAGACAGUUGAUUUACAAAUUUUGUCUUAAAGUCCAAUGUCUAUGCUUCCUCAGAUAGUUUAUUCUAAUUUUUUCUGAGUGGGCUAUACUUUCUUUGCAUGCUUCACAGUUUUUUGUUGAAAGCUGAAUAUUACUUUACUAUUAACUCUGGAAACCAGAUUCUUCACUCCUCAGGGUUUUUGUUACUUGCUGUGGGUUGUAGUGGUUUGUUUAGUGACUUGUAUAUAUUUAGAGACAAAGUCUCACUCUGUUCCCGAGGCUGGAAUGCAGUGGCGCAAUCAUAGCUGACUGUAGCCUCAAACCCCUGGGCUCAAUCAAUCCUUCCACCUCAGCCUCCC
Molecule: long non-coding RNA, 3512 nt
Filed under: Homo sapiens (human)
Lineage: Eukaryota; Metazoa; Chordata; Mammalia; Primates; Hominidae
Description: HSALNT0166409
Rfam family: U2 spliceosomal RNA (bases 1222-1381)
Source: RNAcentral